Molecule: ribosomal RNA, 274 nt
Filed under: uncultured bacterium
Lineage: Bacteria
Description: partial 16S ribosomal RNA
Rfam family: Bacterial small subunit ribosomal RNA
Source: RNAcentral
AUACGGAGGGUGCAAGCGUUACUCGGAAUCACUGGGCGUAAAGCGCGCGCAGGCGGGCUGAUAAGUUGGAUGUGAAAGCCUACGGCUCAACCGUAGCACUGCAUCCAAAACUGUCAGUCUAGAGUCUGGGAGGGGAAGAUGGAAUUAGUUGUGUAGGGGUAAAAUCCGUAGAGAUAACUAGGAAUACCAAAAGCGAAGGCGAUCUUCUGGAACAGUACUGACGCUGAGGCGCGAAAGCGUGGGGAGCAAACAGGAUUAGAUACCCUAGUAGUCC